Molecule: transfer RNA, 72 nt
Filed under: Candidatus Pacearchaeota archaeon
Lineage: Archaea; Nanobdellati
Description: tRNA-Thr
Rfam family: tRNA
About the family: Transfer RNA (tRNA) molecules are approximately 80 nucleotides in length. Their secondary structure includes four short double-helical elements and three loops (D, anti-codon, and T loops). Further hydrogen bonds mediate the characteristic L-shaped molecular structure. tRNAs have two regions of fundamental functional importance: the anti-codon, which is responsible for specific mRNA codon recognition, and the 3' end, to which the tRNAs corresponding amino acid is attached (by aminoacyl-tRNA synthetases). tRNAs cope with the degeneracy of the genetic code in two manners: having more than one tRNA (with a specific anti-codon) for a particular amino acid; and 'wobble' base-pairing, i.e. permitting non-standard base-pairing at the 3rd anti-codon position.
Source: RNAcentral
GCCUCUAUAGCUCAGCGGUAGAGUACUACCUUGGUAAGGUAGGGGUCCCGAGUUCAAGUCUCGGUAGAGGCU